GAUGAACGCUGGCGGCGUGCCUAAUACAUGCGAGUCGAGCGAACAGACGAGGAGCUUGCUCCUUUGACGUUAACGGCGGACGGGUGAGUAACACGUAAGUAACCUACCUAUACGACUGGGAUAACUUCGGGAAACCGGAGCUAAUACCUGAUAAUAUUUCUAACCGCAUGGUUCGAUAGUGAAAGAUGGCUUUGCUCUCACUUAUAGAUGGACCUGCGCCGUAUUAGCUAGUUGGUAAGGUACCGGCUUACCAAGGCAACGAUACGUAGCCGACCUGAGAGGGUGAUCGUCCACACUAGAACGGAGACACGGUCCAGACUCCUACGGGAGGCAGCAGGAGGGAAUCUUCCGAAAUGGGCGAAAGCCUGACGUAGCAACGCCGCGUGAGUGAUGAAGGUCUGCGGAUCGUAAAACUCUGUUAUUAGGGAAGAACAAACGUGUAAGUAACUGUGCACGUCGUGACGGUACCUAAACAGAAAGCCACGGCUAACUACGUG
Molecule: ribosomal RNA, 497 nt
Filed under: uncultured bacterium
Lineage: Bacteria
Description: partial 16S ribosomal RNA
Rfam family: Bacterial small subunit ribosomal RNA
Source: RNAcentral